Molecule: ribosomal RNA, 497 nt
Filed under: uncultured bacterium
Lineage: Bacteria
Description: partial 16S ribosomal RNA
Rfam family: Bacterial small subunit ribosomal RNA
Source: RNAcentral
GACGAACGCUGGCGGCGUGCCUAAUACAUGCAAGUUGAGCGCUGAAGGUUGGUACUUGUACCAACUGGAUGAGCAGCGAACGGGUGAGUAACGCGUGGGGAAUCUGCCUUUGAGCGGGGGACAACAUUUGGAAACGAAUGCUAAUACCGCAUAAAAACUUUAAACACAAGUUUUAAGUUUGAAAGAUGCAAUUGCAUCACUCAAAGAUGAUCCCGCGUUGUAUUAGCUAGUUGGUGAGGUAAAGGCUCACCAAGGCGAUGAUACAUAGCCGACCUGAGAGGGUGGUCGGCCACAUUGGGACUGGGACACGGCCCAAACUCCUACGGGAGGCAGCAGUAGGGAAUCUUCGGCAAUGGACGAAAGUCUGACCGGGCAACGCCGCGUGAGUGAAGAAGGGUUUCGGAUCGUAAAACUCUGUUGGUAGAGAAGAACGUUGGUGAGAGUGGAAAGCUCAUCAAGUGACGGUAACUACCCAGAAAGGGACGGCUAACUACGUG